Acyrthosiphon pisum (pea aphid) is the source of this 390-nucleotide long non-coding RNA. RefSeq lists it as uncharacterized. The transcript is spliced from 2 exons. The record is from RefSeq and is a predicted model, not a curated record. Lineage: Eukaryota; Metazoa; Arthropoda; Insecta; Hemiptera; Aphididae.
UUAAGAAAUAUCAAAUAAUUAUAUGAAUGAGGAAUACCAAAAAGAAGAAAAUGGUACAAUAGUCAAUACAUAAAAUCGAAAGUCCCUUGUCCAAAUUGCGAUAAUAAAUACAUUGAGGCAUAUCGUACUAAAUGCAAUAAAUGCCAUUGUGCACUGCAGGGACUGGAACCGUACCGAAAUUGACUGGUUUUGGACCGAAACCUUUUGAAAAUCUCGGAACCGAAACCGAAACCAGAAUCUAAAAUAAUAUACCAACGUUUUAAACUUUAGCCGACCCAUUUAAAGUUAUUAACCGUUUGGUUAAGAACCGCUGCUUUAGAGCCUUUUUUUAAAUAUAACUGUAAACAAAUAUCACAUUUAAAAGAUAAAACUGAUAAUAACUUACUACAA